UACGGAGGGUGCGAGCAUUAAUCGGAUUUAUUGGGCGUAAAGGGCGCGUAGGCGGGAAUAUAAGUUAAAUGUGAAAUUUCACAGCUCAACUGUGAAGCUGCAUUUAAAACUGUAUUUCUUGAGGAUAGGCGGAGAAAACGGAAUUCCAUGUGUAGCGGUGAAAUGCGUAGAUAUAUGGAGGAACACCUGUGGCGAAAGCGGUUUUCUAGCUUAUUCCUGACGCUGAGGCGCGAAAGCAAGGGGAGCGAACAGG
RNAcentral lists this ribosomal RNA (253 nucleotides) under uncultured bacterium. RNAcentral describes it as "partial 16S ribosomal RNA". It matches the Rfam family "Bacterial small subunit ribosomal RNA", at positions 524 to 776 of the family's 1533-position model. The record is from RNAcentral.